AUUUACAUGAUAUAUAAUAUACAUCAUAAUGACCAAAAAAUUACUUCAUCUUCCACUUCCUUUAGUGUGUGCGAUUCCUCUGUGUCUUAACAUCUAUAUAUUUUUGUCUGCAGAUUCUUUUACAGAGUUUUCAAAACCAGUGAUUGCAGUCCAGAAUAAAUCUGUUUCCCAGAAUGAACCCGAUGUGAUCUUUGACUUGAAGACAACUGGCCUUUACAUUCUAGCCCCCUCAUUUGUCUUUCUUCCCAUUUGCAUAUUUGCUGGAGUCAUCAUAUACAAGAAGUAUAACAGGUCUUCACCUGGUAAUCCACAAGAAUCACAGCCUAAACAAAGGUCAAAUGAUCUGUAUGCAUCAUCAGCAGACGAGACAAUUUUUUAAACCCGUAUACCAUCACCGAAGAGUUAGCGAAAAUCCUGCAUUAUUCAAUAUGGAAGAUCUCAAAAUUUAUGGAAAUGUCAAAUGAAAACGCUCCACAUCAUCCAACGUGCUCAAUACAGUGUUUUAAACAGAAAAAGUCAAACAUAUAUUGUAAUUAAUAUUAAAAACAUACAACUUUGUCUUGGAUAUGUCAAGGAAAUAAUAGCAUCAAUAUUUUAAUUCACAUAAUUCACAUUAACUUUUCAGGUUUUACAGUGUACUUAUAGUAACUUUGUCUGAUUUGUUAGGCAUCUGGAUCUCUCUUUGGCUUUUCAGCUUUAAUGAGCAAGUUGGCUAAUCAGACAAAUUUUCAUUUAAGUAUACAAUGUAUGCAUCAUUGUAAAUAAAAAAACAUUCUAAUGCUGUUGUACCUGAAAAUUAAAUAUAAAUAAAUCAUAAAAUUGAUGAUCAGACAUAAACCGUCUAUGUGUUUUGAACUUUAAGGCACCAGUGCAGAACAGGCGUAGCUCGUA
This is a non-coding RNA of Paramisgurnus dabryanus, 891 nucleotides long. The record is from RefSeq and is a predicted model, not a curated record. NCBI's taxonomy places the organism in Eukaryota, Metazoa, Chordata, Actinopteri, Cypriniformes, Cobitidae.